RNAcentral lists this ribosomal RNA (506 nucleotides) under Levilactobacillus brevis. Its description in RNAcentral is "bacterial SSU rRNA". It matches the Rfam family "Bacterial small subunit ribosomal RNA", at positions 32 to 503 of the family's 1533-position model. Lineage: Bacteria; Bacillati; Bacillota; Bacilli; Lactobacillales; Lactobacillaceae. The record is from RNAcentral.
AACGCUGGCGGCAUGCCUAAUACAUGCAAGUCGAACGAGCUUCCGUUGAAUGACGUGCUUGCACUGAUUUCAACAAUGAAGCGAGUGGCGAACUGGUGAGUAACACGUGGGGAAUCUGCCCAGAAGCAGGGGAUAACACUUGGAAACAGGUGCUAAUACCGUAUAACAACAAAAUCCGCAUGGAUUUUGUUUGAAAGGUGGCUUCGGCUAUCACUUCUGGAUGAUCCCGCGGCGUAUUAGUUAGUUGGUGAGGUAAAGGCCCACCAAGACGAUGAUACGUAGCCGACCUGAGAGGGUAAUCGGCCACAUUGGGACUGAGACACGGCCCAAACUCCUACGGGAGGCAGCAGUAGGGAAUCUUCCACAAUGGACGAAAGUCUGAUGGAGCAAUGCCGCGUGAGUGAAGAAGGGUUUCGGCUCGUAAAACUCUGUUGUUAAAGAAGAACACCUUUGAGAGUAACUGUUCAAGGGUUGACGGUAUUUAACCAGAAAGCCACGGCUAACUA